Non-coding RNA from Nylanderia fulva, 851 nucleotides. Lineage: Eukaryota; Metazoa; Arthropoda; Insecta; Hymenoptera; Formicidae. The record is from RefSeq and is a predicted model, not a curated record.
GACGACAUAGCGACUAUUGCCCAGACUUUUUGCGAUAAGGUAAGGCCCCUUAUAAUUUGGUUUGAGCUUUGAGCUCGUACCUAUUUUGGGGGCUGUGUCCCUUAUCAAAACGUACUCCCCUGGUUUAUAUCGCGUUGGCUUGAUACUGUGAGUAUCCUUGUAUUCUUUAUUGUACGCUCUUACAAGAUCUGUUGCUCGUGAAGCAUUGUCUCUAUUAAUAUCUCUCUCUUUUUCUAGGUCCUCAUCGACGGUGACAAGGGCCUUCGUGAAAUUGGCUAGAGAGUGAUCCGAAUGGCUGCGUUGGUCAAAACCUAACAUUAGUUUUGCUGGACUUGAUUUAGUCACCGCGUGUUUCCUGCAUUGGACCGAAGUGGUCUACAUGCAACGUAUUUAACGGAACCUUGGGCAAAGGAUGCAGUUGAGUUUCCCUUUCGAACCUGUUAAGCGCGUUAUUGGCUGUAAGACAGGAUAUUCGAAUCCGCAAGCUGAAGGAACUCAAGGCGUCUCUCCAGCGGAAGUUCGUCUAUGUGCGCGACGCUUCGACUAAGCGCGUCAACAUGUGCCAUGCGACUACCUGGACGAUGUAUGAUGUCGAACGAGUAAUUUUGCAGCGCGAGAGUCCAUCGCGCUAUUCGCGGAUUUAGCUCGUAGCUGUGAUACCUGCUCUCCGCUGCGUUCGUGCCUUGACUAAAAUACGCAACCGGACCCCAGGAAUUAUCGCGUCGCUGGAGAAGGAUCGCUCCGAACCCUAAGCAACAUGCGUCUGUGUGUAACUGGGUUUCGGCCGCCGGAUCGUACAGUCUCAGCAACGGAGUGGAGGUCAGUUCUUUUUUCAAAAUUUCGAAUGCUUG